This is a long non-coding RNA of Myotis daubentonii (Daubenton's bat), 2422 nucleotides long. RefSeq lists it as uncharacterized. The record is from RefSeq and is a predicted model, not a curated record. Lineage: Eukaryota; Metazoa; Chordata; Mammalia; Chiroptera; Vespertilionidae.
CGGACCGGGCCGCCCCGGCGCUCCCGAGCCCGGCUCGCCGCCACCCAGCGGCUCGCGGAGCGGCGCGGCGCGGAGGGAGGAGUUUUCCCAGAACCGGACUGCCGGGAAGGCACGGAGACCCCCACGCCAGGAGCGGUAUUAUGUGUCCACCAGGUGCUGUGGAAACAGUAAAGGGUAAGACCUCAGCACCUACCCUCGAAAGGAAGAACUUGUCAUUUAGCUGGGAAGAACACUGCCAUAACGUGGGAAUCUGGGUGUUAAACGCACCAGCAGAAUUUAGCAUCUUGAGAGAUGCUAGAACCUCACUGAGCUCCUGUUUGGAAGUCUUCAGAACACUUUGAUUUAAAGUAAGGUGUUACCGCAUACCUCUGUCGUCCACCUUGUUGGGAGGGUGAAACCAAAGGACUUUUGAAAAGCUUUUUCGGAAAAAUCAAAUCCAACCUUUUUGGGCUCUUGUCACUUAGCUUUGAAUUUCGAUGGUUGUCCAGAUCUUAUCUCCCUCAUCAAACAGAAACUUCCUUGAAGAUUGAGUAAAUGUCUGAUUUAUCUCUCACCCAGCACCAACUUGGUGUCUGGGAUAGAUAAGUACAUGAAAAAUACUGAAAAAAAUCUAAAAUGCUAUCACAGAGGAUAUUGAAAAGAAAGUGCUAUAAAUGCCAAAGUUGUUUCUACAAGAGGUAUUCCAAAGAUGUUUUGAACAAUGACAGCAUCACUGGAGGAAGAGUGAAGGCAGCAGCUCUCAUUAGCAUAUAUAAAUUCUGGUAUGCUUGUUAAAUAAUGAGUCACAGGAGGACCUGGCCACACCUCAUACACAUGAAAAGAUUGCAAUACAGGACAGUGUAUAGGCAUUUGCCCUUUUAUAUAAUAAUCAUCUGUUGACUGAGCACCAUGCUAAGUGCAGGGGUAGGUCCCUGCCCUGUCCUCAAGAAGUUCACAGUCUAGGUGGGAAGAUGAGAAUUAUAAAGUUCAAUGGAAAACCAAAGUAAGGAACACUGAAAUUCAAGUUACAGAGUGGACAUUGAUCUAGUUCCUGAAGGAUAAAUGAGAAUUUACCAAAUUAAGACUGGAAUACUGCCUGGCCUGUGUGGCACAGUGGUUCAUUGUCGAACUAUGAACCAGGAGGUCAUGGUUCCAUUCCCAGUCAGGGCACAUACCCAGGUUUCCAGCUGGAUCCCCAGUGGGGAGCAUGCAGGAGGCAGCUGAUCAAUGAUUCCCUCUCAUUGGUGUUUCUAUCCCUCUCUCCCUUCUCUCAGAAAUGAAUAAAAAUUAAAAAAUAAAGACUAAAAUAACCACAAAGGUAUAGUACAGAGGGGUGGUUAGGAGAAGUCCUGUAAACUGGUGUGGCUAGAGAAUAGGAGCUGGGGAGAGUAGGUUACAGUAAGUGGGUGCCAUGCUGUGAAGAUCAUCGGAUUCCAUGCUGAAGAGGGGUAUCAAAAGCCCCUUUACACACAGGUGUGACAUAACCAGUACCAACAUCAGAAAGACCCCUCCGGCAACAGUGUCAGGGCUGCAAGGGGGAAUCAGGUGCCUUAAACUCAGGCAGUGGUCCUGAGGCUGAUAUGGGAAAGGGUGUAGGAAAUAGUCCAGAGUUGAAAUAAACAAGAACAGGUGACUAAGUGGGCUGUGAGGGUGAGAGAAGAAACAAAAAUCACUAAAUUUUGACAACUGAACUAUUGGUGGUACCAUUAACUGAGACAAUUCAAAUAGGAGAAACAGGGUGAGGUAGUAGGUGGGUCCAGCCAGGUUCAGAGGAUUGAGGGGAAGGCAGGACAGAGCCUAGGGUGGAGACAGAACAACCUUUGAGUGUCACUUCAGCACAGACUACUGAGAGGAAAUUUGGAGAUCAGACAAUUAUUCCCAAAUUUUAACUGUCAAGACUAUAACUGGUCCUAGCUGCAAUGGUGUGACCUCAGACUUCAGCCUCCUGGUCCAUGCCCUUACAGGCUUCUAGAGAGCUCUGUGCUUUCAGAAAUGGCAUGUUCCCAAGUUGUUGAGGUCCCUCUGGCUAAAGGAAAGUUCUUAGAUGUAGAAAUUGUGAAGGGUGAAAGACCGAUUUUAUACUGAUUUUUAUGUCCUGCCCUUACUAGGGGUAUUUACAUUUAAUAGACAGGACUUUCAUUCCUUGACCCUCAGGAAUAAAUCUGUUGGUGGAAAUAUUUCAUCUCUCUGGAUCCAGCUAAUAGAAAUGCAUAUGGCUGCCCUCAAAUGACAACAUGUAGUCCACAACUCCCCUCACUUCCUAGUGAUCCAGACCACCUAGUCCUCACUCAGGUGCAGAAAGGUGGAUGUGGUCAGAGCCCCUCUUGAUGUAGGGAGGGUAUCUGUGUUGUCUCUACUCCAAAAUGAAGGUCAAAAAUCAUACUAAUUAUUCUUAUGUUGUUUGAUAUAAUUUGCAUUUCUUUAAUAAAUUUUGUUUUUCCAA